AUGGGAAGGGAGGAGACUGGAAAAGUUAACCAGCGGCACCCAAAUCCCCACGCUGGGAAAGCGCUCAUCUGCCGUUUCGACCGCCGCUCUCAUUUGGGCAGACAAGGUGAGUCUUUCCUUCUGAGAGCGAUUGUUAAGGCCAAAGGCCAAGAUGACCUGCUCCACCUCUGUGUAGACUGUGGCCUUUUUUAUGAUCUCCUCUGCGUGUCUAAGGUUUGCCCCUGGGUAACUCUCCACCUGCAGUUGGUCAUUUGUGAAUGGGGGGAAUCUGCUCAAAUUGGAGUCCCCCAGAAUGAGCCACUUUUUAGUAACGCUCAGACCCCAAUCCUGCAUUUUGUUAUUUGUGUGGAUGUGUCUGGUGGCUCUGCGUGUCUCCGGUUCAGGUGAGUAGGGUUGUUGGGGGGUUUUUUGUGCAUCCAUUCUGAGCUGACUUUGCACCGCUGACCUGAGCCUCCUGGCCAUCUGUCCAGUACCCUCCACUGGUGAGGACAAAGGGACCAAUUUCUGCUCGCUUAGGUCAAUGAGCAGGUCCGCCUCUAUCGGAGCAUCCAAGAUGGAGUCCGUCUCCACCACGCAGCAGGGGUUUGGCUUAGGGGAGGAGGUUACCGUAGUAGGUAGGUGGGCUGAACGGGGGGUUCUCUGUGGCUGUGGUGGGUUAUCUUGGGCUGGGAUGUCUAAGAGAUUUUCCUCUCUUAUAGGUGACCAUCCUCCUGAUUCCUCCGUUUCCGUGCCAACUGACACCUUUUGAAUGGAUCUGGGUGGAGCAGGUGAUGUGGGAACCAAUUCCAAUUGUUUUGGUGGUUGAUGCACCUCAACUGUAAUUGUAUGUUUGUCCACUGGUGUUGUUUCAGUGUCAUUGGCCGUCUGUAAAGCAGGUGGAUCUGCAGCAGGAGGAAGAGGGGAGGAGAGAGGGGGUGACGGCGGCGCAGGACCGAUUAUCCCCUCACCUCCCAUUCUGGCAAUGAUGUGUGCCUGUGCCUGCUCCAGAGUCUCCCCAUGGAGCCGUUUGCCCAGGUCCCGUUUUGCCCAAAUGGAGGCAAUCUGGAAAGGUCCCUCCCAUCCCUGGAGUGACAACUGGGUGAGCGCCCCCAGCUCCAACUCCAGUUCAUAUAUGUAAUGAUCCCGGAGGAUCAUCAUGGUGGUUGCCUCCCAGUUCCUGGCAUUCCCCUCUAAUAAAAGACUUGUUCUCUGAUUGGGAUUUGCAGGUUUUAUUGUGUUUGCCAGGUUUAUAGACAGUUUUCUGAUGGUGGGAGUGGACUAUUCAGCCAAAGCGAUUUUAAGAUGGUGGGUAAUUUUAAUUAUUUUUAACAUGGUUCGAAUUUUAAGACCAAAAUCUGGGUCAUCAGAUUUAGGCUUAUUUUUGUUCAUGGUUGUCCGAUUAUUUGUGUUUUGUCGCAUUGCAGCGUUCCCCCUGUUAUAUGAACGCGCGUUGCGAUUUUUAUAAUUGUGCGGGGCCGAGUAACGUCCCCGCGGUUCAAAAAAUUGCGGCUGAAAGCCUCGCUUUUGCAAGCGUUGUUGCGGGGCAUAGUCGUCCCGUCUGCUACUCAUCCUCGUAACCGAGGCGUAGCUGCGACGUUCCCGACUACGGUACGGCCCCCCGUCACGUCCGUUGCGGUGUUCCGCCUCCGGAGCACGGUUCCUGCCCUCAUGGCGGAGCCAGUCAUGACGGCUGGGAUUCGGAGGCUCGGGGCGGCGGUGAUGUUGAUUCCGCUUGCGCCCUCGAGACACCAGAAUCCACCCGUCAUCGUUCCUGUACUCCGCCAUGUAGAAGUUGGUAAGUAUUCUCCGGAUUUUUUUAAAUCGAAAACUAGCUAUUUUGUUGCAACGUUUCGGUCCGAAAAGAACCUUCUUCAGGCUUAGCUCGUUUUGCUGUUGCUAUUGCUAUCUGUGCUGUAUCUCCGUUUGAUUUCCUGAUGUGUCUGAUUCAGAUUUUCAAGGUAGGUACUGAGCUCCCGCCUGAAUGGGGCUUUUGUAAACUCCGGUCAGGGGGCGGAGUGUGGAGGGAGUUUUUCGAAGAUUUUCUUGCUCCAAUUUUCCAAGUAAUAGGAAAUCUCCAAUAGUCCAAAUUAUGUGUUUUCCUUUUGUUUUUUGGUUUAAAUUCUU
This is a long non-coding RNA of Takifugu rubripes (torafugu), 2103 nucleotides long. Lineage: Eukaryota; Metazoa; Chordata; Actinopteri; Tetraodontiformes; Tetraodontidae. The record is from Ensembl.